Kordia algicida OT-1 is the source of this 73-nucleotide non-coding RNA. Lineage: Bacteria; Pseudomonadati; Bacteroidota; Flavobacteriia; Flavobacteriales; Flavobacteriaceae. The record is from Rfam.
GCGAAAAUAGCUCAGCUGGUAGAGCGCAACCUUGCCAAGGUUGAGGUCGCGGGUUCGAGCCCCGUUUUUCGCU